UCCUCGUUAGUAUAGUGGACAGUAUCUCUGCUUGUCACGCAGAAGACCAGGGUUCGAUUUCCUGACGGGGAG
This 72-nucleotide transfer RNA is filed under the name Gasterosteus aculeatus (three-spined stickleback). It matches the Rfam family "tRNA". Rfam says of the family: Transfer RNA (tRNA) molecules are approximately 80 nucleotides in length. The record is from Rfam by way of RNAcentral. Lineage: Eukaryota; Metazoa; Chordata; Actinopteri; Perciformes; Gasterosteidae.